RNAcentral lists this ribosomal RNA (440 nucleotides) under uncultured bacterium. RNAcentral's name for it is "partial 16S ribosomal RNA". It matches the Rfam family "Bacterial small subunit ribosomal RNA", at positions 338 to 795 of the family's 1533-position model. The record is from RNAcentral.
CCUACGGGUGGCAGCAGUGGGGAAUCUUGCACAAUGGGGGAAACCCUGAUGCAGCGACGCCGCGUGAGUGAAGAAGUAUUUCGGUAUGUAAAGCUCUAUCAGCAGGGAAGAAAAUGACGGUAACUGAUUAAGAAACACCGGCUAACUACGUGCCAGCAGCCGCGGUGAUACGUAGGGGGCAAGCGGUAUCCGGAUUUUCUGGGUUUAAAGGGAGCGUAGACGGGUGCGCAAGUCUGGAGUGAAAUGCCGGGGGUUAACCCCGGAUCUGCUUGGGAAACUGUGCAGCUAGAGUGCAGGAGAGGUGAGUGGAAUUCCUAGUGUAGCGGUGAAAUGCGUAGAUAUUAGGAGGAACACCAGUGGCGAAGGCGGCUUACUGGACUGUAACUGACGUUGAGGCUCGAAAGCGUGGGGAGCAAACAGGAUUAGAUACCCUGGUAGUC